UCCGAUCUUGAGGUAUCAAUACCUAUCUGAUCCUUAUUGCAAUAAUAAACUGACUCUGUCUGCCCCGAAGGGAUGUCUCUUAAUUCCUUCCUUCCAUAACAUCUCAACUCUCUUCUCCUCUCCCACCGUAAUCCUAUCCUAUCCUAUCCUAUCCCAUCCCCUCCAUUUUCUGAUUCAUUGACUUCCGUGAGCUUUUUUUUUUUUUUUUAAGCUUAAAAGGCUUGCAAUGGUGUAACUGGACGGAUCAGCUGAAAUUUAUCACGGGUCAGUGAUAGGAGGUGGAGACAACCUAUGCAGUGAAAGAGGGCUGCAUUCCUCCCAAGCAUUUUUCUUCUCCGGAAGCAAUGAAAGAACCAGCUGGGAACCAUCAAGCUCUUUGCCGGAAUGUCGUCUGGCUCCAAGAUCCUGGACAGUAUUAAAGCAGUGGCUGAACACACGGAAGGAGCCGUGCGACUCCAGAGGACUCCGCGCAGCUUAGAUUAACCACAAGAAAACGAAAGGAAAGAAGCAAACCGUUUUACCAGCUAUGUCUGGAUCUCAUUUUUAUUUAUUCUUGCGCAACACCGGCUCGAGUUGGAAUCCCAAAUUAUUCUUCCUAACAUAACCUACAACAUCUCACAGUGAUUCAACGUCCACCUUGCCCCAGGAUCUCUGAGAACAGCCAAGUUUUCAAUAGAAGUGGCUAGAGCAGUGCACCAAGUGCUGAAAAGGUUUUCCACUGAACAAGAAUAACGCUUCAUUUUCUAAAUUCCUGGAUCCUGUGUCUUUCGGAAUAGUUAAGACCUCAGCUAACAUACAAACAGCAAAAAGCAAGCGAUGCGCUUUCAAGAGCAUUACUUCAUCCACUUGUUAUUUAUUUAUUAAAUUUAUGUAGCUGCCCGUA
Molecule: non-coding RNA, 883 nt
Organism: Pantherophis guttatus
Lineage: Eukaryota; Metazoa; Chordata; Lepidosauria; Squamata; Colubridae
Source: RefSeq, a predicted model, not a curated record